This 786-nucleotide ribosomal RNA is filed under the name Azospira oryzae. RNAcentral describes it as "bacterial SSU rRNA". It matches the Rfam family "Bacterial small subunit ribosomal RNA", at positions 56 to 835 of the family's 1533-position model. Lineage: Bacteria; Pseudomonadati; Pseudomonadota; Betaproteobacteria; Rhodocyclales; Rhodocyclaceae. The record is from RNAcentral.
UGCAGUCGACGGCAGCACGGGAGCUUGCUCCUGGUGGCGAGUGGCGAACGGGUGAGUAAUACAUCGGAACGUACCCAGGAGUGGGGGAUAACGUAGCGAAAGUUACGCUAAUACCGCAUAUUCUGUGAGCAGGAAAGCGGGGGAUCGCAAGACCUCGCGCUCUUGGAGCGGCCGAUGUCGGAUUAGCUAGUUGGUGAGGUAAAAGCUCACCAAGGCGACGAUCCGUAGCAGGUCUGAGAGGAUGAUCUGCCACACUGGGACUGAGACACGGCCCAGACUCCUACGGGAGGCAGCAGUGGGGAAUUUUGGACAAUGGGGGCAACCCUGAUCCAGCCAUGCCGCGUGAGUGAAGAAGGCCUUCGGGUUGUAAAGCUCUUUCGGCGGGGAAGAAAUGGCAACGGCUAAUAUCCGUUGUUGAUGACGGUACCCGCAUAAGAAGCACCGGCUAACUACGUGCCAGCAGCCGCGGUAAUACGUAGGGUGCGAGCGUUAAUCGGAAUUACUGGGCGUAAAGCGUGCGCAGGCGGUUUCGUAAGACAGACGUGAAAUCCCCGGGCUCAACCUGGGAACUGCGUUUGUGACUGCGAGGCUAGAGUACGGCAGAGGGGGGGUAGAAUUCCACGUGUAGCAGUGAAAUGCGUAGAGAUGUGGAGGAAUACCGAUGGCGAAAGGCAGCCCCCUGGGUUAGUACUGACGCUCAUGCACGAAAGCGUGGGGAGCAAACAGGAUUAGAUACCCUGUAGUCCACGCCCUAACGAUGUCAACUAGGGGGGUUGGAAGGGUUAA